GUUGUUGGGUAGGGGAGCGUUCUGUAAGCCUGUGAAGGUGGCCUGUGAGGGUUGCUGGAGGUAUCAGAAGUGCGAAUGCUGACAUAAGUAACGAUAAAGCGGGUGAAAAGCCCGCUCGCCGGAAGACCAAGGGUUCCUGUCCAACGUUAAUCGGGGCAGGGUGAGUCGACCCCUAAGGCGAGGCCGAAAGGCGUAGUCGAUGGGAAACGGGUUAAUAUUCCCGUACUUGGUGUUACUGCGAAGGGGGGACGGAGAAGGCUAUGUUGGCCGGGCGACGGUUGUCCCGGUUUAAGCGUGUAGGUGUGUGUUCCAGGUAAAUCCGGUUCACUUUAACACUGAGGCGUGAUGACGAGGCACUACGGUGCUGAAGCAACAAAUGCCCUGCUUCCAGGAAAAGCCUCUAAGCAUCAGGUAACAUCAAAUCGUACCCCAAACCGACACAGGUGGUCAGGUAGAGAAUACCAAGGCGCUUGAGAGAACUCGGGUGAAGGAACUAGGCAAAAUGGUGCCGUAACUUCGGGAGAAGGCACGCUGACACGUAGGUGAAGUGAUUUACUCACGGAGCUGAAGUCAGUCGAAGAUACCAGCUGGCUGCAACUGUUUAUUAAAAACACAGCACUGUGCAAACACGAAAGUGGACGUAUACGGUGUGACGCCUGCCCGGUGCCGGAAGGUUAAUUGAUGGGGUCAGCGCAAGCGAAGCUCCUGAUCGAAGCCCCGGUAAACGGCGGCCGUAACUAUAACGGUCCUAAGGUAGCGAAAUUCCUUGUCGGGUAAGUUCCGACCUGCACGAAUGGCGUAAUGAUGGCCAGGCUGUCUCCACCCGAGACUCAGUGAAAUUGAACUCGCUGUGAAGAUGCAGUGUACCCGCGGCAAGACGGAAAGACCCCGUGAACCUUUACUAUAGCUUGACACUGAACAUUGAGCCUUGAUGUGUAGGAUAGGUGGGAGGCUUUGAAGCGUGGACGCCAGUCUGCGUGGAGCCGACCUUGAAAUACCACCCUUUAAUGUUUGAUGUUCUAACGUGGACCCGUGAUCCGGGUUGCGGACAGUGUCUGGUGGGUAGUUUGACUGGGGCGGUCUCCUCCUAAAGAGUAACGGAGGAGCACGAAGGUUGGCUAAUCCUGGUCGGACAUCAGGAGGUUAGUGCAAUGGCAUAAGCCAGCUUGACUGCGAGCGUGACGGCGCGAGCAGGUGCGAAAGCAGGUCAUAGUGAUCCGGUGGUUCUGAAUGGAAGGGCCAUCGCUCAACGGAUAAAAGGUACUCCGGGGAUAACAGGCUGAUACCGCCCAAGAGUUCAUAUCGACGGCGGUGUUUGGCACCUCGAUGUCGGCUCAUCACAUCCUGGGGCUGAAGUAGGUCCCAAGGGUAUGGCUGUUCGCCAUUUAAAGUGGUACGCGAGCUGGGUUUAGAACGUCGUGAGACAGUUCGGUCCCUAUCUGCCGUGGGCGCUGGAGAACUGAGGGGGGCUGCUCCUAGUACGAGAGGACCGGAGUGGACGCAUCACUGGUGUUCGGGUUGUCAUGCCAAUGGCACUGCCCGGUAGCUAAAUGCGGAAGAGAUAAGUGCUGAAAGCAUCUAAGCACGAAACUUGCCCCGAGAUGAGUUCUCCCUGAGACUUAGAGUCUCCUGAAGGAACGUUGAAGACGACGACGUUGAUAGGCCG
RNAcentral lists this ribosomal RNA (1666 nucleotides) under Salmonella enterica subsp. enterica serovar Heidelberg str. 41576. Its description in RNAcentral is "bacterial LSU rRNA". It matches the Rfam family "Bacterial large subunit ribosomal RNA", at positions 1220 to 2863 of the family's 2925-position model. Lineage: Bacteria; Pseudomonadati; Pseudomonadota; Gammaproteobacteria; Enterobacterales; Enterobacteriaceae. The record is from RNAcentral.